This 56-nucleotide non-coding RNA is filed under the name uncultured Alistipes sp. Lineage: Bacteria; Pseudomonadati; Bacteroidota; Bacteroidia; Bacteroidales; Rikenellaceae. The record is from RNAcentral.
GAUGUGGAAGGAUUUGAACUGAUUGCAACCACAAUAAAAAAGUGCUAAAGCGGUAU